Molecule: ribosomal RNA, 236 nt
Filed under: uncultured Arcobacter sp.
Lineage: Bacteria; Pseudomonadati; Campylobacterota; Epsilonproteobacteria; Campylobacterales; Arcobacteraceae
Description: partial 16S ribosomal RNA
Rfam family: Bacterial large subunit ribosomal RNA
Source: RNAcentral
UUUUGCUGGAGCGGAUAGAAGUAAGCAUGCAGGCAUGAGUAGCGAUAAUUAAGGUGAGAAUCCUUAACGCCGAAAACCCAAGGUUUCCUACGCGAUGCUCGUCAUCGUAGGGUUAGUCGGGUCCUAAGUCGAGACUGAAAACCGUAGACGAUGGCAAAUUGGUUAAUAUUCCAUUACCAACAUAUAAGCGCGAUGUGGGGACGCUUAGAAACGUGCUAAUCGUUCCUUUUUCCCGA